This 69-nucleotide transfer RNA is filed under the name Urocitellus parryii (Arctic ground squirrel). Its description in RNAcentral is "Spermophilus parryii (Arctic ground squirrel) tRNA". It matches the Rfam family "tRNA". Rfam says of the family: Transfer RNA (tRNA) molecules are approximately 80 nucleotides in length. Their secondary structure includes four short double-helical elements and three loops (D, anti-codon, and T loops). Lineage: Eukaryota; Metazoa; Chordata; Mammalia; Rodentia; Sciuridae. RNAcentral also lists the same sequence under 1 other name. The record is from Rfam by way of RNAcentral.
GGGGUUGUAGCUCAGUGGUAGAGCGCUUGCCUAGCAUGCAUGAGGCACUGGGUUCGAUCCCUGGCACCA